Molecule: long non-coding RNA, 707 nt
Organism: Salvia splendens (bonfire salvia)
Lineage: Eukaryota; Viridiplantae; Streptophyta; Magnoliopsida; Lamiales; Lamiaceae
Exons: 2
Source: RefSeq, a predicted model, not a curated record
UCUCACAUUCUCACCCCAUUAAUUUAUCCCUCUUUGCUGCCUAGGGUUCACCAUAGCAGCCGAAUUGCAGAACAAGCUCAUUUUCUUCUUCGCUACUGGAUUUUUUCAGAAAUGGGAGGAAGUGGGAAAAUCAAUAAGACAGACAUGAGCGAUAGUGUGAGAAAAAUUAUGUCGCCGUGCGAUGUGGAGGCGCUGAAGAAAUGUCUGGAAGAGAACAAAGGCGAUCAGAGUAAAUGCCGAUCACAAAUCGAAGCUUUCAAAAGCGCAUGCUCAAUUAAGAAACCCACUUCAUCUUGAAAAAAAUACGGUUUUUGAGCUCGUACCAGCUCUCCCGUCUCUUGGUUUGGGCGGAUGAUCCCGUGGAACAAUAUCCUACUGAUUGCUGUGAAUCCACAUCCUUUGAGGAACAACUAAAUAACAUCUCAGCGUAAAAGACUCAUCACUACGAUCCUUAGUUAGCGACUCAUGUCUUUCCCUUCUUUGCCGUGCUGGAAUCUCACAGAAGAAGCAGAGGAGCUUCGUCAUCUUCAUAGUAGCGAUGACCAGAUUUCACCAAGUUUGAAAUGAGUAGAUUAAUGAAGUUCUUGAAUUCUUGCACCAGAACCAGAAUUAUAUGCUCAUGUUUAUUGAAAAUUUAUGAACAACUCAGGUCUAGUCAAUAUGUACAUAUUGUUGUACUACUACAUAUGAAUUCCAUUUUUCACAAA